AGCAGCCGCGGUAAUUCCAGCUCCAAUAGCGUAUAUUAAAGUUGUUGCAGUUAAAAAGCUCAAUGUGUUGGUCGUGCCUUGGUACGUACUAGUUUAUUGAUUUCUUCCUUCUGAUGAAUCAUGAUGUCAUUAAUUUGGUGUCAUGGAGAAUCAGGACUGUUACUUUGAAAAAAUUAGAGUGUUUAAAGCAGGCUCACGCUUGAAUACAUUAGCAUGGAAUAAUGAAAUAGGACGUUUGAUUCUAUUUUGUUGGUUUCUAUGAUUGACGUAAUGAUUAAUAGGGAUAGUUGGGGGCAUUAGUAUUCAAUUGUUAGAGGUGAAAUUCUUGGAUUUAUUGAAGACUAACUACUGCGAAAGCAUUUGCCAAGGAUGUUUUCAUUAAUCAAGAACGAAAGUUAGGGGAUCGAAGACGAUCAGAUACCGUCGUAGUCUUAACCAUAAACUAUGCCGACUAGGGAUUGGAUGAUGUUAAUUUUUUAAUGUACUCAUUCGGCGCCUUACGGGAAACCGU
RNAcentral lists this ribosomal RNA (511 nucleotides) under uncultured Glomus. Its description in RNAcentral is "SSU rRNA". It matches the Rfam family "Eukaryotic small subunit ribosomal RNA", at positions 569 to 1101 of the family's 1831-position model. The record is from RNAcentral. Lineage: Eukaryota; Fungi; Glomeromycota; Glomeromycetes; Glomerales; Glomeraceae.